GCUGGCAAAGCAUGAGACCAUACCAUUUUGGGCUUUGAUUUGCUUGUUGGGCUUGGUGGCGGACGGACUGUAACCGUAAGUGAAAGGAAUUCCUAAGUGAAAUUGUGGAUAGGUUUAGCAGGCCGGCCCAGUACGUUCCCUGUGUGCUUGCUCUCUGGGCCUCCAACGACACCCGCAACGGUUCUUCAACCAAAAUGUGGCCCAAUUCUCAAAUUCUCAAAAAACGAAAAAAUGUGGCCCAC
This 242-nucleotide long non-coding RNA is filed under the name Sorghum bicolor (sorghum). Its description in RNAcentral is "long non-coding RNA (SBIC_LNC011249)". Lineage: Eukaryota; Viridiplantae; Streptophyta; Magnoliopsida; Poales; Poaceae. The record is from RNAcentral.